Molecule: non-coding RNA, 1100 nt
Organism: Ciona intestinalis (vase tunicate)
Lineage: Eukaryota; Metazoa; Chordata; Ascidiacea; Phlebobranchia; Cionidae
Source: Ensembl
UCUAAAAAAAUUUUUUAUUGUAAGAGAAUAGCAUAUUACUAUUUAAGUAUAAAAGAUAGAAAUUUUUACAUAAAUUUUCUGUAAAGAAAUUAGAUAAAAUUAAGUAAAGUUAAGUUAAAUGUUCUUUUUGGAUCAAGAUUUAAUAAAAAAUUCUUAUUAGAAAAUAAAUUUCGAAAAAACAUGAUUUUGUAUUAUAAAAAAAAUAUUAUAUUUCAAUAUAAUAUAGAAAUAAAUAAUACAAGAAGUGAUAUACCAAUCAUAUGUUUAGAUAACUAAUUUGUAUAAUUAUAAUUAAGGGUCAGCUUUAAUUUUUUAUAACAUAGUAUAAUAAAAUUAUAAUUUGUAAUAUUUAUAGUAUAAUUUUGUAUAAUAACUAAAAAAUUUUUUUUUAUUAUUUAGAUAUAUAUAACUCAUAUAAAUUAAACUGUUAAAAUAAGUAAUUAAAAAUAAUUUUUAAUAAAUAAAAAAUAUUUUUUAACAUAUAUACAUAUAUUUUCUAAGAACUAGGAAUUUUCCAAAAUGUUUACUAAAAACGAUUUUUCUAGAUUCUUAUUAGAAAUUUCUUUUUCUUUUCAAUGUAAAUUUAUAUAUUAAGCUUAGUUUAAAUUAACCAAGUAAACUUAAUUAGUUUGCCGUUAAAAAGAAUUGGGAAAUUAUAUUUAGAAAAUAAAUAAUGAAUUUUUUUAUUAUGUGAAGAAACAUAAUUAGAAAAAAAAGACGAAAAGACCCUAAGUGAUUUAGAUAAAAUAAAGAAUAAACUACUUUAUAAUUCUUUGUUGGGGUAACUACUGCUUUAUUUAACAACAGUAAUUAAUUUUUUUUUAUUAAGAAAGAUCCUUAUAUUUUAUAUAAGAUUAUUAGAAAAAUUAACCUUAGGGAUAACAGCGCUAAUGGAUUAAAUAAGUUCUUAUUGUUUAAUUUGUUUACGACCUCGAUGUCGGUUUACUUUAACUAAUUCUUGUAGAAGAGAAUAAAGUUUGUUUGCUAACCAAAUUAUCAAGUACAUGAGCUGGGUUAAGGACGAAGUGAUUCAGUCCGGACUUUAUCUUUUAUUAAAAUUAUUUUGAGUACGAAAGGAAAAUUAUAAUUAUAUUUUUUAU